Molecule: ribosomal RNA, 253 nt
Filed under: uncultured bacterium
Lineage: Bacteria
Description: partial 16S ribosomal RNA
Rfam family: Bacterial small subunit ribosomal RNA
Source: RNAcentral
UACGUAGGGGGCAAGCGUUACCCGGAUUCACUGGGCGUAAAGCGGGUGUAGGCGGCUCGGUAAGUCGGGUGUGAAAUCCCACGGCUCAACCGUGGAAUUGCGCACGAAACUGCUGAGCUUGGGGCCGGUAGAGGGAGACGGAACUGCCGGUGUAGGGGUGAAAUCCGUAGAUAUCGGCAGGAACGCCGGUGGGGGAGCCGGUCUCCUGGGCCGCGCCCGACGCUGAGGCCCGAAAGCUAGGGGAGCAAACCGG